AUUGAACGCUGGCGGCAUGCUUUACACAUGCAAGUCGAACGGCAGCGCGGGCUUCGGCCUGGCGGCGAGUGGCGAACGGGUGAGUAAUACAUCGGAACGUGCCCAGUAGUGGGGGAUAGCUCGGCGAAAGCCGGAUUAAUACCGCAUACGACCUGAGGGUGAAAGCGGGGGAUCUUCGGACCUCGCGCUAUUGGAGGGGCCGAUGGCAGAUUAGCUAGUUGGUGGGGUAAAGGCCUACCAAGGGGACGAUCUGUAGCUGGUCUGAGGGGACGACCAGCCACACUGGGACUGAGACACGGCCCAGACUCCUACGGGAGGCAGCAGUGGGGAAUUUUGGACAAUGGGCGAAAGCCUGAUCCAGCAAUGCCGCGUGUGUGAUGAAGGCCUUCGGGUUGUAAAGCACUUUUGGCGGGAACGAAAAGGACUGUGCCAAUACCACGGUUCGAUGACGGUACCCGCAGAAUAAGCACCGGCUAACUACGUG
This 484-nucleotide ribosomal RNA is filed under the name uncultured bacterium. Its description in RNAcentral is "partial 16S ribosomal RNA". It matches the Rfam family "Bacterial small subunit ribosomal RNA", at positions 29 to 507 of the family's 1533-position model. The record is from RNAcentral.